RNAcentral lists this ribosomal RNA (253 nucleotides) under uncultured Gemmata sp. RNAcentral's name for it is "partial 16S ribosomal RNA". It matches the Rfam family "Bacterial small subunit ribosomal RNA", at positions 524 to 776 of the family's 1533-position model. Lineage: Bacteria; Pseudomonadati; Planctomycetota; Planctomycetia; Gemmatales; Gemmataceae. The record is from RNAcentral.
GACGAACCGUGCGAACGUUGUUCGGAAUCACUGGGCUUAAAGGGCGCGUAGGCGGAUCAGCAAGUCCGGGGUGAAAUCUUUCGGCUUAACCGGAAAAGUGCCUUGGAUACUGCUGGUCUCGAGGGAGGUAGGGGUCAUGGGAACUUCUGGUGGAGCGGUGAAAUGCGUUGAUAUCAGAAGGAACGCCGGUGGCGAAAGCGCAUGACUGGACCUCUUCUGACGCUGAGGCGCGAAAGCUAGGGGAGCGAACGGG